AACAUCAUAAUUAUAUCGCGAAUGUACUACCACUACAUGCAGCUUUUUCAUAAGGUUGCAGGGAAUGGCUAAAUGUUCUAUGUUUUUCCCAUUUUUGGUAGUGCUGAAGCGUAGAUAGAUUGAACGUUGCUGGGCGCCUGAUGUUGAUCAUUUUGAAAUGAGGUAUUGGGAAUCAGCUGUAUCUACAUUU
This is a small nucleolar RNA of Saccharomyces kudriavzevii IFO 1802, 190 nucleotides long. It matches the Rfam family "Small nucleolar RNA snR32". NCBI's taxonomy places the organism in Eukaryota, Fungi, Ascomycota, Saccharomycetes, Saccharomycetales, Saccharomycetaceae. The record is from Rfam.